GCUUGUGUUUGUCAUUUUGUUACUUCGGCAUCUGUUUUGGUCUGUCUUAAUCCGUUAAAGCUUUGUUGAACGAGUGCCAUCUUGGAGCCCCCCAUGCUUUCUUUCAAGACGAGAAAGCUUCCUUUGGCUUAGACAUGCACUUCAUCAGUAAUCAAGCUUUGUGUUCCCUUAAAAUUCUACAGCAUCAGUGAUUCCAGCGAGGGCAAAACCAAAGCUACUACCUAACUGGCUUGGUUUGGCUUUUGGGGGAGAGAAGGGAUGGUGCGAUGAUGCGAGGAAGGUUCUUCACGCAUGCAAAGAGACUGUUGCUGGCAAUCAUCCAUCAGAAGGUUCCUCAGUUCUCCAUCUAAUCCUCAUCAUCAUCAUCAUCAGCAUCGCCAAACUAAGUUUCUUUGAUGAUCCCAGUUGCUGUAUUCCACAUUAUAAUAUGCAAUGUUCAUUCCUCUUUUUUGUUUGCUUUCCUCACUCUCUUUGAACUUUGUAUUAUUAAGAUGAGCACAUGUGUGUCCAAUCACCAGCGCUAGGAUCUUUAUGUAGUUAAUUAACCUCAAUAAGAC
This 557-nucleotide long non-coding RNA is filed under the name Musa acuminata (dwarf banana). RNAcentral's name for it is "long non-coding RNA (MACU_LNC009247)". The record is from RNAcentral. Lineage: Eukaryota; Viridiplantae; Streptophyta; Magnoliopsida; Zingiberales; Musaceae.